AUGUACUGAGUUAUAGAAUUGUGCUUGGCCCUAGUGUAUGUUUAUCCCUUUGCACAUGAUCAUUUUAUGUUUAAGUUGUAUGUUUGAGAUGAUAUUUUUAUGAUGAGAGCUAGGCUUGGUGCAUGGUAGUAUUUCUAUCUCUGUAGUAUGGUACCAUAGUAGGUAUCACUCUUCGAGUGCAUACAAACAGAGCAUGCAUAGUCCAGGCUUAGUUGAUGAGAAAAAUUGCAAGUUUUAUAGAAAAGAAAGAGAAAGACGAGAAAAGAGAAAAGAAAAAAAAAAAGAAAGUAACAGUUUUAUGCCUAAGUAUGAUCAUGUAUGGGAG
This 325-nucleotide long non-coding RNA is filed under the name Manihot esculenta (cassava). Its description in RNAcentral is "long non-coding RNA (MESC_LNC002572)". The record is from RNAcentral. Lineage: Eukaryota; Viridiplantae; Streptophyta; Magnoliopsida; Malpighiales; Euphorbiaceae.